This 622-nucleotide ribosomal RNA is filed under the name Gyalecta jenensis. RNAcentral describes it as "eukaryotic LSU rRNA". The stretch from base 274 to 427 matches the Rfam family "5.8S ribosomal RNA". The record is from RNAcentral. Lineage: Eukaryota; Fungi; Ascomycota; Lecanoromycetes; Ostropales; Gyalectaceae.
AAGUCGUAACAAGGUUUCCGUAGGUGCCCCCCCGCCGCGUCUUUCCGCCGGAGCUCCCCACGCUAACGUUAAACAGGUAGGUGAACCUGCGGAAGGAUCAUUAAAGAGAGAAGGGUCCCCUCGGGGGCCCGCACCUCCCAACCCCAUGCCAACAUACCUUCGUUGCUUCGGCGGGCCGGGGCCGUCGAGGUCCCCUCGCGCGCCCGUCGGAAGCCCAACCAAAACCCAUUUUAAAACCCUUGCAGUCUGAAUGAAGAAAAUCGAACAGCCAAAAACUUUCAACAACGGAUCUCUUGGUUCCGGCAUCGAUGAAGAACGCAGCGAAAUGCGAUAAGUAAUGUGAAUUGCAGAAUUCAGUGAAUCAUCGAAUCUUUGAACGCACAUUGCGCCCUCUGGUAUUCCGGGGGGCAUGCCUGUUCGAGCGUCAUUACACCCAUCGAGCCCCGCUCGGUAUUGGGGGCCGCCCCGCGCGGGCGCCCCCGGAAGUUAGCGGCGGAGCGGCCGGAGCGAGAGCGCAGUGACACUUGACGUUUCGCUCCUCGUCCCCGGCGGCACCGGCCGGGCAACCACCCCGAAUCUAACGAUCGACCUCGGAUCAGGUAGGGAUACCCGCUGAACUUAA